RNAcentral lists this ribosomal RNA (133 nucleotides) under uncultured bacterium. RNAcentral's name for it is "partial 16S ribosomal RNA". It matches the Rfam family "Bacterial small subunit ribosomal RNA", at positions 355 to 502 of the family's 1533-position model. The record is from RNAcentral.
UGAGGAAUAUUGCCCAAUGGACGCAAGUCUGAGGCAGCAACGCCGCGUGAGCGAUGAAGGCCUUCGGGCUGUAAAGCUUCUUUUCGUGGGGGACGAGAGAGGACGGUACCUCAGGAAUAAGUCACGGCUAACU